GAUGAACGCUGGCGGCGUGCCUAAUACAUGCAAGUCGAGCGAACGGACGAGAAGCUUGCUUCUCUGAUGUUAGCGGCGGACGGGUGAGUAACACGUGGAUAACCUACCUAUAAGACUGGGAUAACUUCGGGAAACCGUAGCUAAUACCGGAUAAUAUUUUGAACCGCAUGGUUCAAAAGUGAAAGACGGUCUUGCUGUCACUUAUAGAUGGAUCCGCGCUGCAUUAGCUAGUUGGUAAGGUAACGGCUUACCAAGGCAACGAUGCAUAGCCGACCUGAGAGGGUGAUCGGCCACACUGGAACUGAGACACGGUCCAGACUCCUACGGGAGGCAGCAGUAGGGAAUCUUCCGCAAUGGGCGAAAGCCUGACGGAGCAACGCCGCGUGAGUGAUGAAGGUCUUCGGAUCGUAAAACUCUGUUAUUAGGGAAGAACAUAUGUGUAAGUAACUGUGCACAUCUUGACGGUACCUAAUCAGAAAGCCACGGCUAACUACGUGCCAGCAGCCGCGGUAAUACGUAGGUGGCAAGCGUUAUCUGGAAUUAUUGGGCGUAAAGCGCGCGUAGGCGGUUUUUUAGUCUGAUGUGAAAGCCCACGGCUCAACCGUGGAGGGUCAUUGGAAACUGGAAAACUUGAGUGCAGAAGAGGAAAGUGGAAUUCCAUGUGUAGCGGUGAAAUGCGCAGAGAUAUGGAGGAACACCAGUGGCGAAGGCGACUUUCUGGUCUGUAACUGACGCUGAUGUGCGAAAGCGUGGGGAUCAAACAGGAUUAGAUACCCUGGUAGUCCACGCCGUAAACGAUGAGUGCUAAGUGUUAGGGGGUUUCCGCCCCUUAGUGCUGCAGCUAACGCAUUAAGCACUCCGCCUGGGGAGUACGACCGCAAGGUUGAAACUCAAAGGAAUUGACGGGGACCCGCACAAGCGGUGGAGCAUGUGGUUUAAUUCGAAGCAACGCGAAGAACCUUACCAAAUCUUGACAUCCUUUGACAACUCUAGAGAUAGAGCCUUCCCCUUCGGGGGACAAAGUGACAGGUGGUGCAUGGUUGUCGUCAGCUCGUGUCGUGAGAUGUUGGGUUAAGUCCCGCAACGAGCGCAACCCUUAAGCUUAGUUGCCAUCAUUAAGUUGGGCACUCUAAGUUGACUGCCGGUGACAAACCGGAGGAAGGUGGGGAUGACGUCAAAUCAUCAUGCCCCUUAUGAUUUGGGCUACACACGUGCUACAAUGGACAAUACAAAGGGCAGCGAAACCGCGAGGUCAAGCAAAUCCCAUAAAGUUGUUCUCAGUUCGGAUUGUAGUCUGCAACUCGACUACAUGAAGCUGGAAUCGCUAGUAAUCGUAGAUCAGCAUGCUACGGUGAAUACGUUCCCGGGUCU
Molecule: ribosomal RNA, 1371 nt
Filed under: uncultured bacterium
Lineage: Bacteria
Description: bacterial SSU rRNA
Rfam family: Bacterial small subunit ribosomal RNA
Source: RNAcentral